CUGUAAACUUGGGUCGCCUCUAGCUUAGCGAGCGCUGGAGUUUCAAGAGCGGGCAGUGGCUGCACACGCCAAACUUUCCCUAUGGCUUCGGUGACCAGGGCCGUGUUUGGAGAGCUGCCCUCGGGAGGAGGGACAGUGGAGAAGUUCCAGCUGCAGUCAGACCUCUUGAGAGUGGACAUCAUCUCCUGGGGCUGCACGAUCACAGCCCUAGAGGUCAAAGACAGGCAGGGGAGAGCCUCGGACGUGGUGCUUGGCUUCGCCGAGUUGGAAGGAUACCUCCAAAAGCAGCCAUACUUUGGAGCAGUUAUUGGGAGGGUGGCCAACCGAAUCGCCAAAGGAACCUUCAAGGUGGAUGGGAAGGAGUAUCACCUGGCCAUUAACAAGGAACCCAACAGUCUGCAUGGAGGAGUCAGAGGGUUUGAUAAAAUUGGAGUGCAAUGGUGUGUGCGAUCUCGGCUCACUGCAGCCUCAACCUCCUGGGCUCAAGCGAUCCUCCCUUCUCAGCCUCCCGAGUAGCUAGGACUACAGGUGCUCUGGACCCCUCGGGUGCUGUCAAAUGGCGUCCAGUUCUCGCGCAUCAGUCCAGAUGGUGAAGAA
This 597-nucleotide small RNA is filed under the name Pan troglodytes (chimpanzee). Its description in RNAcentral is "processed transcript". Lineage: Eukaryota; Metazoa; Chordata; Mammalia; Primates; Hominidae. The record is from RNAcentral.